AGCCCCGUAGUGUAGUGGCCAAUCAUGUCAGGUUCUGGCCCUGGCGACCGCGGUUCGAAUCCGCGCGGGGCUA
Molecule: transfer RNA, 73 nt
Filed under: Candidatus Woesearchaeota archaeon
Lineage: Archaea; Nanobdellati; Candidatus Woesearchaeota
Description: tRNA-Gln
Rfam family: tRNA
About the family: Transfer RNA (tRNA) molecules are approximately 80 nucleotides in length. Their secondary structure includes four short double-helical elements and three loops (D, anti-codon, and T loops). Further hydrogen bonds mediate the characteristic L-shaped molecular structure. tRNAs have two regions of fundamental functional importance: the anti-codon, which is responsible for specific mRNA codon recognition, and the 3' end, to which the tRNAs corresponding amino acid is attached (by aminoacyl-tRNA synthetases). tRNAs cope with the degeneracy of the genetic code in two manners: having more than one tRNA (with a specific anti-codon) for a particular amino acid; and 'wobble' base-pairing, i.e. permitting non-standard base-pairing at the 3rd anti-codon position.
Source: RNAcentral